GUUAGUGGCGGACGGGUGAGUAACGCGUGAGAAUCCGCCCUCAGGAGGGGGACAACAGCUGGAAACGGCUGCUAAUACCCCAUAUACCGCGAGGUGAAAUGAAUUUCGCCUGAGGAUGAGCUCGCGUCUGAUUAGCUAGUUGGUGUAGGUAAUGGCUCACCAAGGCAUCGAUCAGUAGCUGGUCUGAGAGGAUGAUCAGCCACACUGGGACUGAGACACGGCCCAGACUCCUACGGGAGGCAGCAGUGGGGAAUUUUCCGCAAUGGGCGAAAGCCUGACGGAGCAACGCCGCGUGAGGGAUGAAGGCCUCUGGGCUGUAAACCUCUUUUAUCAAGGAAGAAGAUCUGACGGUACUUGAUGAAUAAGCCACGGCCAAUUCCGUGCCAGCAGCCGCGGUAAUACGGGAGUGGCAAGCGUUAUCCGGAAUUAUUGGGCGUAAAGCGUCCGCAGGCGGCCCUUCAAGUCUGCUGUUAAAAAGUGGGGCUUAACUCCAUCAUGGCAGUGGAAACUGUUGGGCUUGAGUGUGGUAGGGGCAGAGGGAAUUCCCGGUGUAGCGGUGA
This 560-nucleotide ribosomal RNA is filed under the name uncultured bacterium. RNAcentral describes it as "bacterial SSU rRNA". It matches the Rfam family "Bacterial small subunit ribosomal RNA", at positions 91 to 684 of the family's 1533-position model. The record is from RNAcentral.